GGGCUCAUGGUUUCAGAAGUUUCCAUCCAUGCCUGCUUGGCCCUGCUAACUUUGGUCCUGUAGGUCCCAGUACAUCAUGGUGGGAGUGUGUGACAAAGGAGCACUAUUCACAUCACGAUGGCUGGGAAAACAGGGAGGGAGAGAGAAAGACAGGGAGGGACCCCCAACAUCCUCUUUAAAGAUGCACCCCCAGUGACCUAACUUUCUUCCACUAGGUACCAUCUUCUAAGGGUUCCACCACUUUCCAACAAGUGCUGUAGGCUGGUGACCAAGCCUCUAACACAGGAGACCUUUGGGCCCAGAUCUGGAGAGCAGGUGGGCAGCAGCAGGAUCCCGCAGGGCCAACAGCUCCAUGAACGGAUUCUGUGCUUUGGAGGGAACAGAGAAGAGUCACAGGCAGGGAGAGCUGCCAAGAUCCCCGCGGCCAAGCCGGAGGGAGGAAGGACUGCAAGUGCUUUGGAAAGAGUUUCUGGCAAGCCAGCACAUCAUUUUUAACCAAGAUGUCCAGUGUUCCUUGAAAAAGGGCAGCCUCGGGCAACAGAACCCCUCUCUGCCUCUCAGGAUCCAGCAGAAAAUCUGCUCUUUGGCUGGGGUGACCCCUCAGUUGUGUUAAAGGAAGCUUCUGUCCACCCAUGCUCCAUCGUCUCCCACACUGUAAAAGUAGUAUUUGUGUAAAUAAAUUUGGAGAACACAACAGCAGCCCAAAAAAGCAUAAUAAGAAAAGCCACCUAGCCAGCCUUCCCACACGCACUGUCCACAUUCUAGAGUCAGCUUCUGUUCUGGAGUGGUCCUGCGCUCAAGACUGUGCUCUGUAGUCUCCUGAUCUGUAGUAUUUGUCACUCUGUGUGAGUUACGGAUUAAAAACUGAUGGUCAAUUUAACACCAGCUGAAUUAAAUCAGCAUGGUGCUGAGCAUAGAUGUUGCACCUGAGGAAAGUUGCCUUCAUAAAUAGAGAGGUGGAGAAGGAGAAGCUAGGAUUUGUGGGUUUCUCUAAGUGUUGCUGUUUGAGCUGUUGGUUCUCCUGGAGGAGCUCAUCAUGACUAGCUUCCCCAGGGUGAGUUCGACCAUUAUUAUUGGAGGAGCUCAGGACCUUGUUGGUGAGAGUGGCUGUGGCUCACUUUGGGGGAGCUCUGGUCCUUACUUGGAGCAUCGCUUUCCUGGCUCUGGAAGGGAAGACAUGUGCUGUUUAAUCUCCAGGAGCUACUUGUCACGCUGGCUUUCUGGCAUGUACUCAACUGUUCUUACCCUCAGAGGAGCUCGGAACCUCUGUGUCGCUGAGGAUGGCUGUGGUGCUUUUAAGGACAGCCCUGGUUAUUUUGAGCGUGACUUCUUGGCUCCAGUGUAGCCAGUGUAGGUCCCUCAACCUAUCAGCAUAGCUCCUCACCCUGCUGGCAUAGACUUUCUAGCUUCCACCACUGAUAUUUGGAUCUUCCCAGCACGGGUCCAUAAAACGGGCGUGAGUCCUUCUCAUGGGCUCUAGACCACCAGUUAGACUAUGGGAAGCACUGUCAUGGGCUCUGGAUCUUCAUCUGGACUCAUGCAGACAUUGCUGUGGGAUCCGGGCCCUUGGCUGAAUAUUCUGGGUCUUUAGUGUUGUGGACAGAGUUCCUGUACUUUUUUGUGUUAAACUCUGGGUGACCACCAUAAAACAAUACAAAUUUUG
Long non-coding RNA from Cavia porcellus (domestic guinea pig), 1663 nucleotides. RefSeq lists it as uncharacterized. NCBI's taxonomy places the organism in Eukaryota, Metazoa, Chordata, Mammalia, Rodentia, Caviidae. The record is from RefSeq and is a predicted model, not a curated record. The transcript has 2 exons.